UUUUCCUCCCGAUAAUACCUCUGCAAACAAGUCACACCAGAGCAAGAGUAUCUCAUAUCAUCAGGGUUAAAAGCAAGAGUAUCCCAUAUCAUGCUUUUUCCCUGUCUUUUCCUUUGGCCUUGUUCUUACCUGCAAGAUAAGGAGAAAGAGAGUAAUCAGUCAGCACUUGGAAUCAAACUUCCAGUCAGGAACUGACUGCUUGGAACCCCUUGCCUGAUUACUUACCUGACACUGCUCUCGAGUACUCAUCUUCAACAUCUUAUGCUUCCAGAGAAGAUACCACAUCUGCUUGAGGAACAGAUAGGGUAAGUGAGAAGGAUACAAGGAAGCAUAUGGAGACAAGCGUAACAGAACACGUGCUGAUACAUCCACUACUUUGUCAAAAGCAAAAGUAUCCCAUAUCAUCAGGGUCGAACGUACUCUAGAUUUGAUGGACUUGUUUUGACCCUUAAAUUCUUGAGUCGGCCUUAUACUCUGGAGGAAACUAGAAAACCCUCUAGCCCAGUUCAAGAAUAAGCCUAUGGAAAGUUACUUCUUCAAAAGCAAAAGUAUCUCAUAUCAUCUAUUCUCCAUUUGCUUCUCCUUAUCCUUGGUGCAAUUUACAACACAAGGAGAAUGAGAACAAUCAACCGGAAGCCAAAGUCGAACCUCUGAUCCAGGUUGCUUGCUUGGAAUUCUGAUUGCUUACCUUGUUUGUUACCUCUUUUGGCAAAUCUCCUAGCUCGGCGACUUGGGGGACUUCUACUAUAGGGUUUGUAUCGCACUUGACCAAGCCCGAAAUUACAAGUAAGCUUCAAGUGAAAUUGAUACAUUACCUUGUGCAUCUUCAUCGGUUAAAGAUACCACCCCUAGAUGAAGGAAAAGUACUUCCAGAGAAGAUGCCACAUCUACAUAUGAGACAGAU
RNAcentral lists this long non-coding RNA (904 nucleotides) under Malus domestica (apple). RNAcentral describes it as "long non-coding RNA (MDOM_LNC013802)". The record is from RNAcentral. Lineage: Eukaryota; Viridiplantae; Streptophyta; Magnoliopsida; Rosales; Rosaceae.